AACGAACGCUGGCGGCAUGCCUAACACAUGCAAGUCGAACGAAGUCUUCGGACUUAGUGGCGCACGGGGUGCGUAACGCGUGGGAAUCUGCCCUUGGGUGCGGAAUAACUUCUCGAAAGGGAUGCUAAAUACCGCAUAAUGUCGUAAGACCAAAGAUUUAUCGCCCAAGGAUGAGCCCGCGUAAGAUUAGCUAGUUGGUGGGGUAAAAGCCUACCAAGGCGACGAUCUUUAGCUGGUCUGAGAGGAUGAUCAGCCACACUGGGACUGAGACACGGCCCAGACUCCUACGGGAGGCAGCAGUGGGGAAUAUUGGACAAUGGGCGAAAGCCUGAUCCAGCAAUGCCGCGUGAGUGAUGAAGGCCUUAGGGUUGUAAAGCUCUUCGUCGGGGAAGAUAAU
RNAcentral lists this ribosomal RNA (397 nucleotides) under uncultured bacterium. RNAcentral's name for it is "bacterial SSU rRNA". It matches the Rfam family "Bacterial small subunit ribosomal RNA", at positions 29 to 452 of the family's 1533-position model. The record is from RNAcentral.